GUCCAGCCAGUGCGCCGUGCCUAGAACUUCACAGCUUGAUGUCUACUGAGACUUCCUUGCCUCAAGACCUCAUUUCUGAGCACAGAGAAGAAGUCAAGACAUGGUGGUUUACUACGUGAGGCGGGGAGCUAACCUGUGCAGCAUAUCCACACUAAUUCAUUCCAACUGCAGAGCUCACCCCGACUUAUGUGGUUGUGUUCUUGUUACUCUCGAAACUGCUUCCAAGCCACAUGGUGUAACGUCUUUAACAAAAGAUUGCUGAUCGCCAGGUCAUUCCACCGCUGCGGUUCUCAGCGUACCAGAACUGGACAGCAGAGUGGGCUUCACUGCGUCAACACACUCCUCCAGCCCAGAGCCCACACUCUUCAGUAGGGGUCGGCUUGCCCCCCUCUCUGUUGAUUUAUUGAAGUAGGAGGAGCAACAGCCUCCAAGAGGGAGUGGCGGCUUUGCUUCUCUUACACCAGUGACGAUGACAUGUGCCUGGGACCUCAUAUCUGCUGACUACCAAGACCUUUCUCCAUUGCCUCGUUGGUCCUUGCCAGCUUCUCAGGCACAGGAUGGAGUUCAGGCAGCAGGGCAGCCGUGAGGUUUAAAGGCCUCCUCUGCCUUCACGGUCAGCUCUGCAAAUGAGCCCAGGCUCUAAAAAGUUGGAUUUUUCUGGAAGACACAGACUUCAAGCUGGAAUGGGGAGAGCACUUAAACACUCAACAUGCAGAGGCCCUGUGCUUCAGCUGAUCUAGAAGUAUGAAGGCCUUGUGUAGGCAGUAACAUGCCUACAAAGGUUUGAAGCAUCAUGAAAUACCCCAAUUCAUAAUUCUACACUUUCAUAUACAAGGCACAUUAUA
Long non-coding RNA from Lemur catta (Ring-tailed lemur), 845 nucleotides. RefSeq lists it as uncharacterized. The transcript is spliced from 3 exons. The record is from RefSeq and is a predicted model, not a curated record. NCBI's taxonomy places the organism in Eukaryota, Metazoa, Chordata, Mammalia, Primates, Lemuridae.